Molecule: non-coding RNA, 314 nt
Organism: Linepithema humile (Argentine ant)
Lineage: Eukaryota; Metazoa; Arthropoda; Insecta; Hymenoptera; Formicidae
Source: RefSeq, a predicted model, not a curated record
GUUGCACAUUAUUCUAUUUGGCAAACCUGACAAUAUACGAAACAUUUGCUACUUUCAAUCUGUGCAGUUGGGUCUCCUUACUCUUACUUCAUGGAAUAGAAUCAUCUAAAAAUGAUUUUUUGUCAAUUCAAAAGCACAAAUUCUCUUCUAUGAAAAGUAUGAAAGAGAAAGAGAAAAGGGGGAGAUGGAGAGAAGGAUGAAGAGGGCGGAAGAGAGGAAGGGUCAAAGAAAGAAAAAAUGGGGAUAUUCUAGGUUCUUUUUAAAUGGCAUUUAAAAAUGACAAAAAAUAAAGGCAUCUUGUGAAUUGGAAAAUG